Molecule: long non-coding RNA, 438 nt
Organism: Sinocyclocheilus grahami
Lineage: Eukaryota; Metazoa; Chordata; Actinopteri; Cypriniformes; Cyprinidae
Exons: 3
Source: RefSeq, a predicted model, not a curated record
UUAGUCGACUAUUAGUCGCAUGUUUAUUAAUAAACCAUAUAAAUCAUAAUAAUGAGCCUUUAAUAGCAUAAAGCGCUCAAGCGCACACACCAAAAACAAAAAAGGGUUGCCACAGCGUACUGGCAGAAAUAAUAAUUAUGAAUGUGUCUGGGAAAAACAGCAAAAGAGACUACAUUAACAUUUUAAUAAUUAACAUAAACUAACUCUUCUUAAUGACCUGCAACAGCAUCUUUCAGAUUUUUAGCACAUUGACUGUCAUUGACUCAUCUUUCCAGCUUGGGAAAAUGAAGUCACCCCUAGUAUUUGUCACCAGAUCACAUCAAGAUAAGCCAGUGACCAUCAGCUGACCCUGGACUUGCCAGUGGGCACUUAACUUCUACCAGGCCAUAGGGAGGGUCUUCAUUUGGGUCUACCACCUUGCCAUUUGGACUAGCACCA